AUGAGUAGGGCGGGACACGUGGUAUCCUGUCUGAAUAUGGGGGGACCAUCCUCCAAGGCUAAAUACUCCUGACUGACCGAUAGUGAACCAGUACCGUGAGGGAAAGGCGAAAAGAACCCCGGCGAGGGGAGUGAAAAAGAACCUGAAACCGUGUACGUACAAGCAGUGGGAGCACAGAGCAAUCUGUGUGACUGCGUACCUUUUGUAUAAUGGGUCAGCGACUUAUAUUCUGUAGCAAGGUUAACCGAAUAGGGGAGCCGAAGGGAAACCGAGUCUUAACUGGGCGUUAAGUUGCAGGGUAUAGACCCGAAACCCGGUGAUCUAGCCAUGGGCAGGUUGAAGGUUGGGUAACACUAACUGGAGGACCGAACCGACUAAUGUUGAAAAAUUAGCGGAUGACUUGUGGCUGGGGGUGAAAGGCCAAUCAAACCGGGAGAUAGCUGGUUCUCCCCGAAAGCUAUUUAGGUAGCGCCUCGUGAAUUCAUCUCCGGGGGUAGAGCACUGUUUCGGCAAGGGGGUCAUCCCGACUUACCAACCCGAUGCAAACUGCGAAUACCGGAGAAUGUUAUCACGGGAGACACACGGCGGGUGCUAACGUCCGUCGUGAAGAGGGAAACAACCCAGACCGCCAGCUAAGGUCCCAAAGUCAUGGUUAAGUGGGAAACGAUGUGGGAAGGCCCAGACAGCCAGGAUGUUGGCUUAGAAGCAGCCAUCAUUUAAAGAAAGCGUAAUAGCUCACUGGUCGAGUCGGCCUGCGCGGAAGAUGUAACGGGGCUAAACCAUGCACCGAAGCUGCGGCAGCGACACUGUGUGUUGUUGGGUAGGGGAGCGU
Molecule: ribosomal RNA, 832 nt
Filed under: Escherichia coli
Lineage: Bacteria; Pseudomonadati; Pseudomonadota; Gammaproteobacteria; Enterobacterales; Enterobacteriaceae
Also listed under: 1 other name
Description: partial 23S ribosomal RNA
Rfam family: Bacterial large subunit ribosomal RNA
Source: RNAcentral